Molecule: ribosomal RNA, 385 nt
Filed under: uncultured soil bacterium
Lineage: Bacteria
Description: bacterial SSU rRNA
Rfam family: Bacterial small subunit ribosomal RNA
Source: RNAcentral
AGAUUGAACGCUGGCGGCAUGCCUUACACAUGCAAGUCGAACGGCAGCACGGGAGCAAUCCUGGUGGCGAGUGGCGAACGGGUGAGUAAUACAUCGGAACGUGCCCAAUCGUGGGGGAUAACGCAGCGAAAGCUGUGCUAAUACCGCAUAAGAUCUACGGAUGAAAGCAGGGGAUCGUAAGACCUUGCGCGAAUGGAGCGGCCGAUGGCAGAUUAGGUAGUUGGUGAGGUAAAGGCUACACCAAGGCCUUCGAAUCUAGUAGCGUGGUCUGAGAGGACGACCGAGCCACACUGGGACUGAGACACGGCCCAGACCUCUACGGGAGCAGCAGUAGGGGUAAUUUUAGGACAAGUGGGACCGAAAGGCCUAGACUACCGAGACCCAA